AAUUUAUUUUAAUGUGGUGGGUCCAUCUCAUUUCCAUCCUAAAGCACUGGAGAGCAGCACAGGAAACCGAGGUGUCCAGCAACAUGUAUUUUCAUCUAGUUCAUGAGGUUUGUACCAUGUAGUUGGAGGACAGGAAGGCAGUACCUGUAAGUUAGGGAGAAAUGAAAAGCACAGGCCCACCGGUUUGACAGCAUCAGUACUCAGGGCGUUAACAUGAAUUUUCAAAGAAAUGCUAAAAAUGUAAUAGUAAGUGAAAACUUCCUAACAGCAGCUCUUUAUUUAGAUUUUUGAUAGUGAAGCACACAGGAAAUAUCCAGAGAGGACAACAGAGUUGUCAGAACUGCAAAACCCCUGUGGCCAAAGCGGAGGCAGUAACAGACCCUUUGAAAAAUGGAAUGUUGAGUCAGAAGGAAGAAAUUUCUGAAGGACCUGUGGCGGGGGGAAGAUGCUAUUUAAAGCUUUCUCUGCUGACCGUAAUACAAAAAAACAGAGCUAGUCUAUGAAAUUUGUCAGAGACAAAUUUAAGAUGUGUCACCAGGGAAGAGGAGGAUGGAUUAUUGAACAGUAAGAAACAGAUGACGUGAAGGACUGGGGAAGCAGCAGUGGGAUAUAAUCUGCUACUACGUAUUUUGAGGACAUGCUCCCGAGAACUAAUACAAGAACUGCUGGUGAGGCCCCAUGGUACAGCACAUGGAAGCGAGGGAGGUGGAGGAGAGCCCUCUGCUUUCUUCCAGGAUGGUAAACAAGCAGCAGUGCUUUUCCUUGUUACAACUUCCAACAGGCAAAGCCAGUACCUAGCCAGCAUCUUGCACAGGUUUAGCUCACAAGUAAAGGGGGCUAGCAAAUACCAGAAGAAAAAUAAAAGGGACCACGGUCUAGAAAAAAAAAACAAAAGGGUUUUAAGUUUUAGUGCUAAAACAUAUUAAUCAUUUUUACAGGCAAAAUAGCUUCCAUGAAGGCACUGGAGAAAAGGACUCAGUGGAGUUAUUACUGGGCUCAAUCAAGAUGAGACCGUAUAAAAAAUAAAUGCUCCUCAGUGGGACAUGCUACAACCAGCAACAGCAAUUCCACUUCUGUCUGCAUCACGGCACCUUUCAAAAAGAAGAGAUGUCAGCAAAACAUCACAACUGUCUCAGAACCAAGAGCAAAUUACCAUUCAAAGCUCAAGGCCUACAACUGGAUCCGAGACUGAGGAGAGGCCACUUA
Molecule: long non-coding RNA, 1206 nt
Organism: Aquila chrysaetos chrysaetos
Lineage: Eukaryota; Metazoa; Chordata; Aves; Accipitriformes; Accipitridae
Exons: 3
Source: RefSeq, a predicted model, not a curated record